This 1045-nucleotide long non-coding RNA is filed under the name Rosa chinensis. RNAcentral describes it as "sRNA RchiOBHm_Chr1g0367141". The record is from RNAcentral. Lineage: Eukaryota; Viridiplantae; Streptophyta; Magnoliopsida; Rosales; Rosaceae.
UCUCUUUCUCCCCUUCAGAGUUCAAACCUGAACAAGAACUAGUUUUUUCUUCCCUCAUUUUAGUUCGGUUCCUGAUCUGCCUCCUCUCUAGUAUUUUCUCUUAUGGGUGACUGGCGCGUCUGAAGUCAGCGAGACACGCGAAUGGCUUCGGACUAUCUUCCCACAACCCAGUUAACAACCCAAAGUUGCAGUGAAGAAUUUUCAUGACUCGGGUAGUGGGGUGAUCUCCCAACAACAUGGGAUAUAGCGGGUAGCAAACUCUGCCUUUACUGAUGAAAACAACAAAUCAUUGUAUUGAGAGAGAGGUUAAUAAUACUUUUGACUUCUAAUUAAAGAAAAUUUAUCACCAGUUCACCACUUUGGUUACGUGAUUUCUGUCCACAUUUUUUAGAAGACUAAUCAAAGAGAUUGGCAAGGCUACUUAAACUUCCUAUGUGCGGUAUGACUUGCUGGAGAUCAGGAAACGCUAUUUGGACAGAUAGACAAGUAAGAACAUCACUGGCAGAUAUGGUAUGAUUGCAGAAAAGAAUACAUCUAUCUUUGUUUUCUUUAAGGACCUCAUUCAAACAAUAGCGUCUUGAGGAUUGGACGACACACCACAGAGCUCUUGAGAACUUUACACAAUGAAGGACUUGCAGCUUUAGGGGAAGCAGCAAAAUCAGAUUAUAUUAGAGUUGGGAAUUGGUUAAGGAAGAUCGUAAAGGGCUGUUAACAGAGUUUUUCUUCUUCUUUAUCUACAUUACUGUUUCAAUAUUGGAGGCAGCAGAUGCAACCACGGAGAGGAACAUGAAGAGAUUUAUAGAUUUUUGAUUUUUGAUGUUGUAUUUUAUUUGAAAUUGUAUUUGAAUUGUACAGUACAUUUUAGAAAUAUAGCUGGGUCAAAUUGUUUUUUUUUUUUUAAUAUAUCCCCAUGUUUUGCCACUGAUGUUGGUGGCAUUGAGAAGACACACACUGAUACAAUAACAGUGGGAGAGAAAAAGGUUAUAUGCUGCAUUGAGUUUUGGUAUGCCACUGUUGUUUUAACAGUGUGGAUUGUCCCAAUAGC